AAACAUAAAAGGUGGCUUCGGCUACCACUUACAGAUGGACCCGCGGCGCAUUAGCUAGUUGGUGAGGUAAUGGCUCACCAAGGCAACGAUGCGUAGCCGACCUGAGAGGGUGAUCGGCCACACUGGGACUGAGACACGGCCCAGACUCCUACGGGAGGCAGCAGUAGGGAAUCUUCCGCAAUGGACGAAAGUCUGACGGAGCAACGCCGCGUGAGUGAUGAAGGUUUUCGGAUCGUAAAGCUCUGUUGUUAGGGAAGAACAAGUACCGUUCGAAUAGGGCGGUACCUUGACGGUACCUAACCAGAAAGCCACGGCUAACUACGUGCCAGCAGCCGCGGUAAUACGUAGGUGGCAAGCGUUGUCCGGAAUUAUUGGGCGUAAAGGGCUCGCAGGCGGUUUCUUAAGUCUGAUGUGAAAGCCCCCGGCUCAACCGGGGAGGGUCAUUGGAAACUGGGGAACUUGAGUGCAGAAGAGGAGAGUGGAAUUCCACGUGUAGCGGUGAAAUGCGUAGAGAUGUGGAGGAACACCAGUGGCGAAGGCGACUCUCUGGUCUGUAACUGACGCUGAGGAGCGAAAGCGUGGGGAGCGAACAGGAUUAGAUACCCUGGUAGUCCACGCCGUAAACGAUGAGUGCUAAGUGUUAGGGGGUUUCCGCCCCUUAGUGCUGCAGCUAACGCAUUAAGCACUCCGCCUGGGGAGUACGGUCGCAAGACUGAAACUCAAAGGAAUUGACGGGGGCCC
This 741-nucleotide ribosomal RNA is filed under the name Bacillus tequilensis. RNAcentral's name for it is "bacterial SSU rRNA". It matches the Rfam family "Bacterial small subunit ribosomal RNA", at positions 196 to 922 of the family's 1533-position model. The record is from RNAcentral. Lineage: Bacteria; Bacillati; Bacillota; Bacilli; Caryophanales; Bacillaceae.